Molecule: long non-coding RNA, 640 nt
Filed under: Lathyrus oleraceus (garden pea)
Lineage: Eukaryota; Viridiplantae; Streptophyta; Magnoliopsida; Fabales; Fabaceae
Description: Pisum sativum (pea) long non-coding RNA (PSAT_LNC000127)
Source: RNAcentral
UUUGAUAGAAAAUUUUAUUUGGAUUUUAAUAAAAGAAGCAUUUUUAUACACAAAUGUUCAUUGCAUUUACAUCAUUUUACAAAUAAAAGUACAAAAAAUAGAAACUUUGACCAAAGGUUGACUUUGGUCAGUGGUUGACUUUUUGGUCAACCUUGACCAAAGUCAGCUCACAUGUUUUCUAAACCGUAAGACCUAUUCUAUUUCAGCCUCAUGUUGAUUCCAUUUCCUCUUUGCAUCUUCAUAAUUUUCUUGUUCGCCAAGAAAGAACCAAGUGGAAAUGUGCCAAAUGUCAAGCAUACAAAACCAUGUUCAUACAAAUAAGCAUUAUAUUCAAAUAGCCACAUACAUACAGGAAUGUCAUAACAACAUUCAUGCUAGUAGCUCACAGCAACAAUAACACAACAUCUUUGGUUUCGCUCAAGCAAUAUCAUUCCACCAUCAAAGUUGCACCAGGCCACACAACUGCCACAAAAUCUAUAGUAGGAAAAUCCAACCUCAACUUCAUAUACCAAGCUGCAACCCACCAUGAGCAAGUCUAAUGCACCAUGAUUCCAAAUGCCAAACAUCGUCCUGCAUCAACAAUGCACAACCAAUCAAGCAACAAUUCAAGCAAUGCGUCAUGAUAGUCAAACAUUAAUCA